This is a long non-coding RNA of Melanaphis sacchari, 272 nucleotides long. RefSeq lists it as uncharacterized. Lineage: Eukaryota; Metazoa; Arthropoda; Insecta; Hemiptera; Aphididae. The transcript is spliced from 4 exons. The record is from RefSeq and is a predicted model, not a curated record.
UAUACUCGAAAUUAAAUUUCAAAAUGAUGGCACUAUAAUCGAUUUAGGGACUUACUAUACCGCCAAGUCAUCUUAUUUAAGAAUAAUUAAUACAAUAUAUUCUGAGAGUGCAGUAAUAAACUAUUGUGAGAAACUAUUAGAUAAAAAGAGUACAGGCGGGGAAUUACCUGCAACAACUAAAUUUUGCGAAAAUUAUUAAGAAAUAAGUAGAUCACGAUUAUAAAGCAAUAAAGAUUAUACAUAAAUAACUAAUAUCAAAAAUUCCUUUAAAG